RNAcentral lists this ribosomal RNA (301 nucleotides) under uncultured bacterium. RNAcentral's name for it is "partial 16S ribosomal RNA". It matches the Rfam family "Bacterial small subunit ribosomal RNA", at positions 509 to 808 of the family's 1533-position model. The record is from RNAcentral.
CAGCCGCGCGGUAAUACAGAGGGUGCGAGCGUUAAUCGGAUUUACUGGGCGUAAAGCGUGCGUAGGCGGCUUCUUAAGUCGGAUGUGAAAUCCCUGAGCUUAACUUAGGAAUUGCAUUCGAUACUGGGAAGCUAGAGUAUGGGAGAGGAUGGUAGAAUUCCAGGUGUAGCGGUGAAAUGCGUAGAGAUCUGGAGGAAUACCGAUGGCGAAGGCAGCCAUCUGGCCUAAUACUGACGCUGAGGUACGAAAGCAUGGGGAGCAAACAGGAUUAGAUACCCCGGUAGUCCCUGUCUCUUAUACA